AUAUAUGUAGUAAUUCUAUAGUGCGGACCGUUCGUAUGUGGACCGCACUAAAAGUCAAUGCUUUAAAAAAAAAAAACAUUGACUUUACUGUGUAUACUGUAUAUAUAUACACAGCAAAGCCAACGGUUUUUCCUCAAAAGCGCUGGCUUUUGAUGCAGUCCGCAGAAUAUUUUUAUAUAUAAUAUAUAUAUAUAUAUAUAUAUAUUUUUUGGCUCAAAAGGGGGUUAUAUUAAACCAAAAGCAGGACGCAACCAAGAAACAGUUAGGCAUGUUGCCUUGAAUCAGGAGUUAGUCACAUUUCACAGUCCUGAUUCAUAUUAUCUAUAAAAGCUUUAGACAAAAAGAAAGGAGAAAUAGGACCACUGAAUGCAUUACAAAGACCCCUAUAUAUAUAUAUAUAUAUGUAAACAUAAUAUGUACGCUCAUUUAUAUAAAUAUAGAUUCAUUGUCUAAUUUCACUACAUAAACACACAAAUUUAUACGAAGAAAAUUAAAUAUAAGAACUGGGUUCAGAUUGGUAUUACUUACCGCUUCCAAUGUCAGCCACAUGAAGCUUGAGUCCACUUACUUAUACGUAGAUAUGCUUAAUAUUUUCCAUUGGAAAGACAGAGAGAGAAUGCAGAAACAGAGCAUAUGUAGACAGAGAAUGGAGUGAUGAGCUCGGCGUAUAAAUUGGAGAGAGGUGUCAUCAAAUCAAUGAAAGGUCGUGAGGUCUGGUAAGCAAAUAAGCAAAUGUUAUUGGUGCACCGUUAAAGUUUAUAUUUAAACUAUAUUGUUUAAAUAUUAAGUUUGUAAUUUUCGAAUAUGCUACGUGGUUUUUGAGACAUAUGUUCAAAAUGUAUAUAUUCAAGCUUUUACCACCCAAAAAGUCUGACAAUAGUUUAGAAACUGGAAUUAUGUCCUGUGCAUGCCCUUUAUAUUUUAGAACACCGUGAUAUUAUCUUAUUCCCUUUAGAAUUGCAUUCAUUGGCUCAUGGCUAAGCAUCAAAAAGUGUAAUGCAUAAAUCACAUUGUUCUCAAACUCCAUGUUAUUUUCAUGUUCUUAUCAUUGGACUCUUUCACAUAAACUGAUAUUUGGACAAAAUACUGAAUCUUUUGGAUUAAAAUAUUCAACAUUGUUCAGAAUUCCUAUACUAGCUUUUCCAAGCGCUACAUGGUCGAGAGCUCCUUAUAUGACUUUCAAUUGGACACUAAUAAAACUAACUUGUUCCAAGUCUCUAAGGUAUUGAUUCUGAAAGCGGCUAAAGAUGCAGCAAAAGUAGUUGGAACAGGGGGUGCUUUAGUGAGUUGGGAUUUGUCAUGGCAUAACUGAGAAUGCAUAUCUGUUCCUUUCACUCUACUAGCUAAAAGGAAAUGUAGAAUACCUGUACAAAGCGAAAGCUUUUGCUUGAUUUCUACUUGAUAGAGCUCACAGGCUUAUCACAGAAGGACAGAUGCAUGGAGGUGGCAGUCCAUACUCAUUGUUUGAAGGGAUUGGAGGAAAAAACCAGGAUGUUUUUGUGUUACCUUGUCGAUGCUCAAAGAAUCCAAAACACCAAUGACAUCGUCAACAAGGACUUGGAAAUUGGCUUUUUCCGGCUCCGGUGGCUGGUCGGAAAGUCCAUAGCCCCGGAAAUCGAAAGCGAUUGCUCGAUAGCCUCUGUUGGCCACCGCAAUCAUUUGGUGGCGCUAUGUAUACCAUAUUUCUGGAAAUCCAUGCAGGAACAGCACCACCUUUGGACCUGCAUACAUAAUAAGCAUACAUGCUCAAUUAAUGAAAAUAUUCAUUC
Ziziphus jujuba (common jujube) is the source of this 1769-nucleotide long non-coding RNA. RefSeq lists it as uncharacterized. NCBI's taxonomy places the organism in Eukaryota, Viridiplantae, Streptophyta, Magnoliopsida, Rosales, Rhamnaceae. The record is from RefSeq and is a predicted model, not a curated record. The transcript has 2 exons.